UCAAAUAAUCAUAAGCAGAUUGCAAGUUAUCACCAUGCUUGAGGAAGUUUACAGCUAUUUCAGAGUCGCCUUCAAAGAUAAAUUGGUUCCUGAACAAACUGUGUAGCACGUCUAGCUGCUAAAAGUUCCAGAAUAACGAGAAAUUAUUAGCCACAACGGAGGACUAGGUGGAUGUACUGAUGUGGUCCUCCCAGCCAAUGGUGGUCUGCCAUUUGGACAACUAGUUGAUGUCAGUUUUAACCACGCAAAAUACAAACUUAACUCUAGUUUGGAUUAAUCUAACUAAUAAAAUUUCAAAACUAUAUUUGGCUCAAUUCUCUCUCCCUCUCUGUUUCCUCUGUUCAUCUCCCAAAACACAAAUUUACAUCCUCUCUCUCUCUCUCUCUCAUAGAUUGAAACCCAAGAAGUAUGGCUGUGGAACAUUGGAGUGAAGAAAGCCGCAACCUUCAUUGCUGUGAGGUAUCAUUCGGUGAAACCGAUCUGUCGAUUGGUUUUGGUAGUGAGGAUUUUAGAGGAGAGAUGGGCUUCCGGUUCUUUGCCGAACUUCUGAGAGAGUCUGAGACAGCACCCAUGCCCACUUUUAUCUUAACAAUGAUUGCCACAACGAGACGAAGAUUUCUAGAAGCUGAAAAAGCAAACUCACAAGAAACUCUAAUGUGAAGUAUGAAAUUGGACUUCUUAGUACAAUUGGUGUUCAAAUAGCUGUCUUUCUUUGAAGAUUGAAAACAUGAGUUCAAUCUGAAAUAGGUUGUUGGGUAUCAUUGAAAUAGAACCCAUAUGUUGUGAAUUUUUAACACAAAUGGAACCCACAUGUUGUGAAUUUGCUCAAAAUGGAUGUUGCUAUUCUUAGCCUCAAUUAUGGAAAUGUUGGUGCUGGUGUACCAAGUUCAAGAGAGUAGGAGAGGUGUUUGCUGCUUUGUCUGAGAGAGUGGGUAAAGGUGCCACUGAAGAAAUUCAGGAUUUGUAGUGACAGUGGCUGCACCAUUUGAAGAUUGACUAGUGAUAGAUUGUGGGGGUGCAGGUUUAGUUCCAUCAAGAAAGCCAAAGAGAUGAAGACCUUUAAUGUAAAGAACAAUCUGAGCUUUCCAAAGAAGAUAGUUGUCUCGGGUUAAUUUGAUUGUAGUAUUGUGGUGAAGGUUGAUGAGGUUGUGAGAGGAUAGAUUGGUUGUGGCAAUGGUGUUGGCAGAGGCAGAGGAAGAAGAGCUGGCCAUAGGGAUUGACAUUAGUCACAAAAAGCUCUGAUACCAUGUGAAGUCAAAUAGCAAAUUGAUAUUGUGCUGCCUUACCAAAUACGAUGAAGGCUCUUUGUAUGUAUAAACUAAUCAUUUACAGAGUUUGUGUUUUGACAUAUGUACAUGAAGAGUUUGAAUUCAAAUAUACUAAAACUAAAAUGUUAUCUAUGAGCUGAGUUGUUGUAA
Quercus robur (English oak) is the source of this 1418-nucleotide long non-coding RNA. RefSeq lists it as uncharacterized. The record is from RefSeq and is a predicted model, not a curated record. NCBI's taxonomy places the organism in Eukaryota, Viridiplantae, Streptophyta, Magnoliopsida, Fagales, Fagaceae. The transcript has 2 exons.